Long non-coding RNA from Oncorhynchus masou masou (cherry salmon), 573 nucleotides. RefSeq lists it as uncharacterized. Lineage: Eukaryota; Metazoa; Chordata; Actinopteri; Salmoniformes; Salmonidae. The transcript has 3 exons. The record is from RefSeq and is a predicted model, not a curated record.
GUUGUGUUCAUAGCUACGAGGAGGGACUGGGAGAGAGUCUGAGUGAGUGGAGAACAGUAUAAUUUGUACAACAUAGGAGGGAAGCCAGAGAGAAGAAUGAGGAAUCUGAUGUCUGUCAACAUCAGCCUCCUCUGUGCUGUGAUCUGUGUGGUGUCAGCAGUGAUCACAAAGAGAGGGACAGAAGGAGGAAAUGAUAUCAUUCAGUGUCCUUAUGACCGGGCGUUUGAGACACACCAGAAGUACCUCUCUAAAGGGUUCUGGGCCGACCGGGUUGAUGUGAUCAGAACCCAAACGCAUCGGCACCCAGCGGUGACUCAUAAAGGGAGAUUCUCAAUGUAUGACGACACAGAGAGACGAGUCUUCAGUGUGAACAUCACUAACCUGGUCCCAGAGGAUUCAGGGACCUACUGGUGUGAAAUAAACACAUGGUGGUGGUAUAACAAGACUGAAGUCAGGAUCACUGUGGACAGAGCUACUGUUCCUCCCAACCCUGGCUCCAUCACCUCCAGACCUCUCCUCUCCACGACACACCCAUCAACACACAUCACCAUGGCAACUGACUCCUCAAACUCC